UCUAAUGCCUUUGUUUCAAUUGAUGCAGGAUGGAUAGGGUUUGCAUCUAUAUUGCUUACAAUGGAAAAUGGACUACAGAUAACAAGUAUUUGUAUCAUGAGAUCAAAUUAAUUCUUGUGAAUGAUGGAAUAACAUUUGAAGAUCUUGUCGAAAAGAUUUUUCAGGUCCUAAAACUGAAAAAGGGCGAAUUCUUGUGAAUGAUGGAAUAACGUUUGAAGAUUUUGUCGAAAAGAUUUUUCAGGUCCUAAAUCUGAAAAGGGGCGAGGUUCAACCAACUAUUUGGUUUGACACGAAUCUAGAAACAAGCAAAGGGAUGCUAGUGACAAAUGACGAGGAAGUUACUACUUGCAUCUACUUGCUGAAAAAUGAUCCAAAUUUCAAGACUUCCCGUUUCAUUGUUGAUAUGGCGGAAAGGAACUCUUUGUCAGCAAGAUAUUCAAAAACCGAAGAAGUCAAUAUUGUACAACACGAGGAA
RNAcentral lists this long non-coding RNA (475 nucleotides) under Nicotiana benthamiana. RNAcentral describes it as "long non-coding RNA (NBEN_LNC014565)". Lineage: Eukaryota; Viridiplantae; Streptophyta; Magnoliopsida; Solanales; Solanaceae. The record is from RNAcentral.